GACGAACGCUGGCGGCGUGCCUAAUACAUGCAAGUUGAGCGCUGAAGGUUGGUACUUGUACCAACUGGAUGAGCAGCGAACGGGUGAGUAACGCGUGGGGAAUCUGCCUUUGAGCGGGGGACAACAUUUGGAAACGAAUGCUAAUACCGCAUAAAAACUUUAAACACAAGUUUUAAGUUUGAAAGAUGCAAUUGCAUCACUCAAAGAUGAUUCCGCGUUGUAUUAGCUAGUUGGUGAGGUAAAGGCUCACCAAGGCGAUGAUACAUAGCCGACCUGAGAGGGUGAUCGGCCACAUUGGGACUGAGACACGGCCCAAACUCCUACGGGAGGCAGCAGUAGGGAAUCUUCGGCAAUGGACGAAAGUCUGACCGAGCAACGCCGCGUGAGUGAAGAAGGUUUUCGGAUCGUAAAACUCUGUUGGUAGAGAAGAACGUUGGUGAGAGUGGAAAGCUCAUCAAGUGACGGUAACUACACAGAAAGGGACGGCUAACUACGUG
This 497-nucleotide ribosomal RNA is filed under the name uncultured bacterium. RNAcentral's name for it is "partial 16S ribosomal RNA". It matches the Rfam family "Bacterial small subunit ribosomal RNA", at positions 28 to 507 of the family's 1533-position model. The record is from RNAcentral.